CCUAGAGACAGAGACUAGAGAACAGAGAGACUAACUACAGGUCAAAUCCAGCCUAGAGAGCAGAGAGACUAACUACAGGUCAAAUCCAGCCUAGAGAGCAGAGAGACUAACUACAGGUCAAAUACAGCCUAGAGAGCAGAGAGACUAACUACAGGUCAAAUACAGCCUAGAGCAGAGAGACUAACUACAGGUCAAAUACAGCCUAGAGCAGAGAGACUAACUACAGGUCAAAUACAGCCUAGAGAGCAGAGAGACUAACUACAGGUCAAAUACAGCCUAGAGAGCAGAGAGACUAACUACAGGUCAAAUACAGCCUAGAGCAGAGAGACUAACUACAGGUCAAAUACAGCCUAGAGAGCAGAGAGACUAACUACAGGUCAAAUACAGCCUAGAGCAGAGAGACUAACUACAGGUCAAAUACAGCCUAGAGCAGAGACUAACUACAGGUCAAAUCCAGCCUAGAGAGCAGAGAGACUAACUACAGGUCAAAUACAGCCUAGAGAGCAGAGAGACUAACUACAGGUCAAAUACAGCCUAGAGAGCAGAGAGACUAACUACAGGUCAAAUACAGCCUAGAGAGCAGAGAGACUAACUACAGGUCAAAUACAGCCUAGAGAGCAGAGAGACUAACUACAGGUCAAAUACAGCCUAGAGAGCAGAGAGACUAACUACAGGUCAAAUACAGCCUAGAGAGCAGAGAGACUAACUACAGGUCAAAUACAGCCUAGAGAGCAGAGAGACUAACUACAGGUCAAAUACAGCCUAGAGCAGAGAGACUAACUACAGGUCAAAUACAGCCUAGAGAGCAGAGAGACUAACUACAGGUCAAAUACAGCCUAGAGAGCAGAGAGACUAACUACAGGUCAAAUACAGCCUAGAGCAGAGAGACUAACUACAGGUCAAAUACAGCCUAGAGCAGAGAGACUAACUACAGGUCAAAUACAGCCUAGAGAGCAGAGAGACUAACUACAGGUCAAAUACAGCCUAGAGAGCAGAGAGACUAACUACAGGUCAAAUACAGCCUAGAGAGCAGAGAGACUAACUACAGGUCAAAUACAGCCUAGAGAGCAGAGAGACUAACUACAGGUCAAAUACAGCCUAGAGAGCAGAGAGACUAACUACAGGUCAAAUACAGCCUAGAGAGCAGAGAGACUAACUACAGGUCAAAUACAGCCUAGAGAGCAGAGAGACUAACUACAGGUCAAAUACAGCCUAGAGAGCAGAGAGACUAACUACAGGUCAAAUACAGCCUAGAGAGCAGAGAGACUAACUACAGGUCAAAUACAGCCUAGAGAGCAGAGAGACUAACUACAGGUCAAAUCCAGCCUUGGCGUAGGCUAACAACUUGAUUUACAGCUCACCUUUUUUGUUAUACACUAAGUCAGGGUUCCCCAACUGGCAGCCCGCAGUUCAAUUUAUUCCCCCCCACAAGUUUUCUGAGCAAGAAAAAGGGACAUAAGACUAAAAACACCAGCAAAAUCAGCUAAAUUAACUUUAGAUCUUUUCCAAAGAAUUUCCACACAUAAUAAAGAGAUAUGUAAUCAUAGGCAAAUGUAAGCAAGGUUUGAAAUGACUAUUUUAGUCAAAUGAGAUCUGUUUGGGCUUCUUGCAGUCAAUUUGCAUGUUUACAGUAAUUUGGUUCUGGCCCCCUGACCAUCUGCCUGCUGCUGGAUCUAGUUGAUGAUCCCUGCAGUAGGCUAUAUAAUUGAGCCUAACACAUUCUAUGCGGCCUCAUUUUCUGUGCGGGGAACAGCAUUAGGCCUAAUUCGAUACAGGCUACUGCUCCAUAGCCAAGUUGAUAGCCUACACUCUUUGUAACACUUAGGCUACUAUGUCAAAACAUCAAAGAAGCCACAGAAAUGAAAACUCUGAUAAUGUGGCAUAAGCUGCAUAAGGAUGCAUCCCAAAUGACAUUAUAUUAGGCCCUGCUCAAAAGUAGUGCACUAAAUGUUUAUGCAUUUAACCGUUAUUUAACUAGGCAAGUCAGUUAAAAACAAAUUCUUAUUUACAAUGACAGCCUACACUGACCAAACCGGGACAGCGCUGGACCAAUUGUGUGUCGCCCUAUGGGACUCCCAAUCACAGCCGGUUGUGAUACAGCCUGGAAUCAAAUCAGAGUGUCGGUAGUGACGCCUCCAGCACCGAGAUGCAGUGCCUUGGACCGCUGCACCACUCGGGAGCCCAAAUAUAGGGAAUAGGGUGCCAUUUGGGACGUAGUCUAAACUAAGCCUGGAUAUGGUAACACUGAUCUGGGUAGUAGUGAUGUAAUGGUGCAUCUGCUGGGCUGGACAUCUGGUGUAUGGUUUAGUACACUGCCAUUUCCUCCAUGGGAGAGAGGAUAGGGAGGGCUGCUUCACUACCCUGAGAAUGCAUAGGAAAAUAUACAGAACGCAUAACAAGUUUAAGAGCGCAUGGACGUGUGACGCCAAAGUGUCGUCAGCAUCGUACUGGGCUCUUAAGGUAAUACGGAGAGGACAUCAUCCUAAUUCUAUCUUUUACAUAAACCGAGUGAUUUGAGAGAGAGAAUAAUCCAGUGGUAAUCUCAGGGACUGUCUUUAAUCAGGGUGGAUAGCAACCACUCACAGAGGGUCUGAAAUACCAAGAUUAUCAUGGUGAAAAGAAAGCAAGCCAUACAACAGCAGGUUAACUCAAUGAAGAUCAUGCUAACAGUGAGCUGAGAUUCACGCUCUUUCCAUUGCUACAGCCUGAAACCAUAGACCGCCUAUAGGCUCUCCUUUUGCUCAGGUCUGGUGCCAUGUUCAGAAUUUGUGCCGUGCCUGUGUGAUUUCUCUCCUUUGAUCUGAAAUAGCCUACUGGUGGAAGAGACAUGCAUAGGUCCUAAGUAAGCAUUUCGUUGGACAGUGUAUACCAUGUGUAUCCUGUACAUACGACUAAUACAACUUAUCCAGAGCCCAUAUUUAUGAAGUGUCUGAUCUAGGAUCAGAUCCUACCUGUCCAUAAUAAUUUGAUUCAUUAUGAUCUGAAAGGCUAAACUGAUCCUAGAUCAACACUCCUACUUUGAGACACUUGAUAAAUACAGGCUCAGAUCUCAGGUUCCGAAGAUCAGCACCAUUCCAUCCUUCUCAAUAUUACUGUAAUUAAAGUCCCUCCUCGCUCCCCUUCCUUACACCAAUCAUUGCCCCAAUUCUCUACCCCUGCCCCCCUGAUGCCAAUCUCCAGAUGAAUUAGUGAGAUUUCAUGAUGGCCUCCUCUAGUAUAGAUUAUGUUAUGCAAUCUGCCAUUUCAAAUCUACAAUAGUAACAAUCCCACACAAACACACAAUAUUCCCACACACGCACGUGAGAGAGAAACACACACAUCAUCAAUGCAUAUAGACCGAAAUCAGAUCAAGCUUGAGUAGGCUACGUGGAAGCGAUAAGUGGUGACUUCACACACAGCAGGCUACUUUCUCAGGUUGAACAUAUAAACGAUGUGGACUGUCUUUACAGCAGGCCAAUGAGAUGCUCCAGUCCAAAACAAUGGCAUCAUAGUAUUCCCUACAUAGCCCUGCGGGCCCUGGUCAAAAGUAGUGCACUAUAUAGUAAAUAGGGUGCCAUUUAGGACCCACACCUGGUGAGAGGUGAAUCAUUCAGAGAACAUAACACCCAUUAGAACUACCUGGAGCUGAAACUAUGUCUGGCAUGCCAUCGUUACGCAGUACAGUAACGUAUCUUUAACGAACAUGGUGAGGAAUCCAAUAUGUAGACUAGCCUGAACAUCUUCCCUAAUCAUACAUCUUAGCUAACAGGCAAGAGACAUAAGGCCCAUCUAAAUGCCAAAACAUGUGUAGACCUACACAUUUCAGUUUACCUGAAAUCUGGAAAACAAAACGUAUGAACUCCAGCUGAAGCCUUGUUGCACACAUCACAGCAGAGGCUAAGGACAGUGUUAUGUCAUUGGCCUAGUUGUGCAACCACAGUGAACCAGUUCAACAAAGACUGACACACAGUCACUCAUGACUAUAGGCUACAUGCUGACUCUCACACAGAUAGGCUGAUAUAUUCACCUUGGCUGUGGAAAGAACUCUCUCCUCUACUAGCAAGGAUGUCAUCUGAGGGUAUCGGCCAGGGACUUGUCAUCUGAUUCCAUUUUUCUAAUGUGGCGUAAUGUGGUUUGGGGGAACCAAUAUAACUAAAUAACUGUUCUUAUAGGCUGGGGUAAUAGUCUACUAGUGUUGUUUGAAUAGGCCAACACUAUCCAAGUCACAGGAACCCAUUGCCAUAGGCUAGCCUACAUCCACAUGACAUCACAGGUGUUAGCCUACAUUAUGAUUUGCCAUUGGCUCUGUUUAUUUAGCAAGUAAGCUAUCAUUUUAACUGAACAGCUGUCUUAC
This is a long non-coding RNA of Oncorhynchus keta (chum salmon), 4333 nucleotides long. RefSeq lists it as uncharacterized. NCBI's taxonomy places the organism in Eukaryota, Metazoa, Chordata, Actinopteri, Salmoniformes, Salmonidae. The transcript has 3 exons. The record is from RefSeq and is a predicted model, not a curated record.